This 1293-nucleotide long non-coding RNA is filed under the name Sarcophilus harrisii (Tasmanian devil). RNAcentral's name for it is "lncRNA (ENSSHAG00000027299.1)". Lineage: Eukaryota; Metazoa; Chordata; Mammalia; Dasyuromorphia; Dasyuridae. The record is from RNAcentral.
CUCAAACCAUAGGUGAUUGGCUCUGGGGAGGGAUCUUAAAGAACAUCUCAAUUCAAAAAAAUUGCAUCUCAAUAAAUCUAUGUGGCUUGUCCAAGGUCUGCCAACCCCUAGUUUAGUUAGUGCUCAUUCAACUUCCAAAUGAAAGGAAAUGGAACCCAUGAAGACAGAUAGCUUUUUUUCCCCUCCCAAUAAAAGAUAAUCCAUGUGCCAGAACAAUGUAAAAGUCAUCACGCUGUAAAAGUCAUCACACUGUACAAGUAGAAAGGAAAUUGGACUAAUCAUGUAGUGAAUAAGAGAAGUGACAGAUGGCUAACCCCAUUAAUAUACAGGUACUUCUGAGAUGUUAAAAGAACAAAAGACAGCCCUCCAAAGUAUGAGGUGGAUUCCCUAUGGAGGAUUAAUGAGAAUACAUGGGUAAGAAUUAUAAAAGAUCAGGAGCUAUAGAAAUUAUAGUCUCAAUUAGUGGAGUGGAGUUUCCACAUGGAUUCACCAAGACAACAAAGAAUCAAAACCAAAGGAUAAGACAUCUUUUGCUAGAUUAAGAAAAAAUAAUGAAAGUAUAUUUGGAUGUCCAUUUUCCUGGUGUUCCCACUCUUUAUAUAAUUAUAGUUCUGACAAACCUCAAAAAGAAGACAAGGGGAAUAGAAUAUAGUGUGUGAUAAGCAGAGUACUAAUAUACAUUGCUCUAAAUUUAAACUGGAAAUCCCAGUGACUAAAACAAUGCUAAAUUGUCCAGUCUUCCCAAUCACAUUAAUGACAACCCUUUGAGAACAUAAAUAUUUUCAUAGUUUAGGCAAGAUAAAACCUUAGAAAUGAAAGGGACCUUAGAGGACAUCCUGUGCAUUUUCCUACCUUGAAUAAGAAUUCCUCCUAAAAUAUUCCAUUAAAAUGCUUGUCCAGCCAUUAUUUCAAUAAUUCUAGGCAUGGAGAGCUCCCUACUUACCAAGAAAGCCCAUUCUAUUUAUGAACAACACUAAUCAUUAAGUACCUCCUUAUCUUCAGGCCAAAUUCUAGCUAGUAGUGUUAGUUCUGCUCUUUUAAAAGACAAGAGUUUUGAAAGGCAGAGUCUUAUAAGUGAGAGCAUGCUGGACUUCAAGGCAGAAGAAUUAGAUUCCACCAUAGCAAGUCACUCAAUCUAAGACUCAACUGACUCAUCAAUGUGAUAGAAACAACAAUGCUUUCAUUAUCAACUUCAUGGGGAGGGAGAAGUGUUGUAUGAAGGAUCAAAUGAGAUAUUGUAAGUCAAGAGCUUUAUGCCCAUUAAAAACCUGUACAAAAGUGAAUAUUACCCAG